Molecule: long non-coding RNA, 276 nt
Filed under: Nicotiana benthamiana
Lineage: Eukaryota; Viridiplantae; Streptophyta; Magnoliopsida; Solanales; Solanaceae
Description: long non-coding RNA (NBEN_LNC018755)
Source: RNAcentral
CCAUGUCAUGCCUAAUCACCUCUCCUCAAUACCUCUUAGGUCUCCCUCUGCCUCGCCGAACGCCGACAAUCGCCAGCCGCUCACAACUCUUCACCGGGGCAUCAGUCCCUCUUGGCUACGACCUGAGAUCCAAUCAUCACGUCCCUGCCUACUUCGCUUUGCUCGGCGCUAAACUUGCACUCCAGGUAUUCAGUCUUAGAUCUGCUUAUUUUAAAACCCUUAGACUCGAGAGUCUGUCUCCAUAUCUCUAACCUCUCAAUAACACCGACCCUCGUC